Molecule: small RNA, 71 nt
Filed under: uncultured Pseudomonas sp.
Lineage: Bacteria; Pseudomonadati; Pseudomonadota; Gammaproteobacteria; Pseudomonadales; Pseudomonadaceae
Description: Pseudomonas sRNA P10
Rfam family: Pseudomonas sRNA P10
Source: RNAcentral
CUGGGCGACCCCACCGAUUGCCCGAAAAAGGGCCAUGGCACCAACCCGAUCGCGGCCGGCUCUCCUGACGU